RNAcentral lists this ribosomal RNA (253 nucleotides) under uncultured bacterium. Its description in RNAcentral is "partial 16S ribosomal RNA". It matches the Rfam family "Bacterial small subunit ribosomal RNA", at positions 524 to 776 of the family's 1533-position model. The record is from RNAcentral.
UACAGAGGUCUCAAGCGUUGUUCGGAUUCAUUGGGCGUAAAGGGUGCGUAGGCGGCGCGGUAAGUCGGGUGUGAAAUCUCGGAGCUUAACUCCGAAACUGCAUUCGAUACUGCCGUGCUUGAGGACUGGAGAGGAGACUGGAAUUUACGGUGUAGCGGUGAAAUGCGUAGAUAUCGUAAGGAAGACCAGUGGCGAAGGCGGGUCUCUGGACAGUUCCUGACGCUGAGACACGAAGGCCAGGGGAGCAAACGGG